AUUGAACGCUGGCGGCAGGCCUAACACAUGCAAGUCGACCGCGUGGCGGACGGGUGAGUAAUGUCUGGGAAACUGCCUGAUGGAGGGGGAUAACUACUGGAACCGGUAGCUACUACCGCAUACCAUCAGAUGUGCCCAGAUGGCAUUAGCUUGUUGGUUGGGUAACGGCUCACCAAGGCGACGAUCCCUAGCUGGUCUGAGAGGAUGACCAGCCACACUGGAACUGAGACACGGUCCAGACUCCGACGGGAGGCAGCAGUGGGGAAUAUUGGACAAUGGGCGAAAGCCUGAUCCAGCCAUGCCGCGUGGGUGAAGAAGGUCUUCGGAUUGUAAAGCACUUUAAGUUGGGAGGCGUUACCAACAGAAUAAGCACCGGCUAACUUCGUGCCAGCAGCCGCGGUAAUAC
This 406-nucleotide ribosomal RNA is filed under the name uncultured bacterium. RNAcentral's name for it is "partial 16S ribosomal RNA". It matches the Rfam family "Bacterial small subunit ribosomal RNA", at positions 30 to 526 of the family's 1533-position model. The record is from RNAcentral.